This 1995-nucleotide ribosomal RNA is filed under the name human oral metagenome. RNAcentral describes it as "bacterial LSU rRNA". It matches the Rfam family "Bacterial large subunit ribosomal RNA", at positions 1101 to 2925 of the family's 2925-position model. The record is from RNAcentral.
UUGGCUUAGAAGCAGCCAUCCUUGAAAGAGUGCGUAAUAGCUCACUGGUCAAGUGGUUCUGCGCCGACAAUGUAGCGGGGCUCAAGCGUACCGCCGAAGCUGUGGCAACAACACGAUUGUGCUGGCGCCAGGAACUGGAGUGCUGGUGUGUUGUUGGGUAGGGGAGCGUCCUGCACGAGGUGAAGCCUGGAGGUGACUUCUGGUGGAUUGUGUGGGAGUGAGAAUGCAGGCAUGAGUAACGAAUCUGCGGUGAGAAUCCGCAGCGCCGAUUGACUAAGGGUUCCAGGGCUAGGUUUAUCCGCCCUGGGUUAGUCGGGUCCUAAGGCGAGGCCGACAGGCGUAGUCGAUGGACAACCAGUUGAUAUUCUGGUACCGCGUUGUGACCGCCCAUGCUGAAGUCAUUGUGCUAACCAAUUUGCCCACCACACACUGGGCCUUCGGGUUUGGUGGUGUGUGUGGGUCUUGGGGUCCCGGUGAUUGUAGGCAAGCGUGUUAACAGGGGUGACGCAGACAGGUAGCUGCAGUGCGCCGAUGGUUGUGCGUAUUUAAGGUUGUGGCCCGUCCCUCAGGUAAAUCCGGGGGGCACUGUGGGUGAGAACUGAUGAGGGUGACACGGUUGUGUCGUCUUGUGGUGAUCCUAUGCUGCCGAGAAAAGCCUCGACGUGAGGGCAUGACGCGCCCGUACCCUAAACCGACUCAGGUGGUCAGGUAGAGUAUACCGAGGCGUUCGAGUGAAUCGUGGUUAAGGAACUCGGCAAAAUUCCUCCGUAACUUCGGGAUAAGGAGGACCCCGUGACUUCCCCGCGCCGUUGCGUGUGGGUGGGGUUGUGGGGUCGCAGAGAAUAGGGAGAAGCGACUGUUUAUCAAAAACACAGGUGCGUGCGAAGCCGUAAGGCGAUGUAUACGCACUGACGCCUGCCCGGUGCUGGAAGGUUAAGAGGAACCGUCAACACCCCCCGGGGUGUGAAGCGGUGAAUUUAAGCCCCAGUAAACGGCGGUGGUAACUAUAACCAUCCUAAGGUAGCGAAAUUCCUUGUCGGGUAAGUUCCGACCUGCACGAAUGGCGUAACGACUUCUCCGCUGUCUCAACCGCGAACUCGGUGAAAUUGCAGUACGAGUAAAGAUGCUCGUUUCGCGCAGAAGGACGGAAAGACCCCGGGACCUUUACUAUAGCUUGGUAUUGGUGUUCGCUUGGACUUGUGUAGGAUAGGUGGGAGACUGUGAAGCUGCCGCGCCAGCGGUGGUGGAGUCGUCGUUGAAAUACCAUUCUGGUUCAAGCGGUCACCUUAACCUUGGCCCGUGAUCCGGGUUGGGGACAGUGCCUGGUGGGUAGUUUAACUGGGGCGGUUGCCUCCUAAAAUGUAACGGAGGCGCUCAAAGGUUCCCUCAGCCUGGUUGGUAAUCAGGUGGCGAGUGCAAGUGUACAAGGGAGCUUGACUGUGAGACCGACGGGUCGAGCAGGUGCGAAAGCAGGAACUAGUGAUCCGGCCAUGGCACGUGGGUGCGUGGUCGCUCAACGGAUAAAAGGUACCCCGGGGAUAACAGGCUGAUCUUGCCCAAGAGUCCAUAUCGACGGCAUGGUUUGGCACCUCGAUGUCGGCUCGUCGCAUCCUGGGGCUGGAGUUGGUCCCAAGGGUUGGGCUGUUCGCCCAUUAAAGCGGUACGCGAGCUGGGUUCAGAACGUCGUGAGACAGUUCGGUCCCUAUCCUCUGUGCGCGCAGGAAAUUUGAGAAGGGCCGUCCCUAGUACGAGAGGACCGGGAUGGACGAACCUCUGGUGUGCCAGUUGUACCGCCAGGUGCAUGGCUGGUUAGCUACGUUCGGAAGGGAUAACCGCUGAAAGCAUCUAAGCGGGAAGCCUGCUCCAAGAUGAGGUUUCCACGCCCCCCCGUGGGGUGAGAGGCCCCCGCCAGACGAGCGGGUUGAUAGGCCAGAGGUGGAAGCACCGCGAGGUGCUCGCGAGCCGACUGGUACUAAUGGGCCAACACUAAACAAC